AUGAUAGAGAAACUGCUAGCUAAUCCUUAUGCAGGAGAUGGAACAUUACAUCCCGAUAUGCACCUAAUCUAUGUGGAUGAAGUUUGUGGAUUAUUUAAGCUUGCAGGUAUGCCCGAGGAUGUUGUCAAGAAGAAGGUCUUCCCUUUAUCUUUAAAGGGAAAGGCAUUGACAUCGUAUAGGCUACUGGAUGAUAUUGGAGCAUGGAACUACAACCGAUUGGAAUUGGAAUUUCAUCAGAAGUUUUAUCCUAUGCAUCUGGUUCAUCAUGAUUGGAAUUAUAUAUAUAAUUUUUGGCCUCCUGAAGGAGAAAGUAUCGCUCAAGCUUGGGGGAGGCUUAAGUCAAUGUUAUAUUAA
This 354-nucleotide ribosomal RNA is filed under the name Triticum aestivum (bread wheat). RNAcentral describes it as "partial small subunit ribosomal RNA". The record is from RNAcentral. Lineage: Eukaryota; Viridiplantae; Streptophyta; Magnoliopsida; Poales; Poaceae.